GCUUAUUCUCAGGGCAGGGUGAAAUUCCUGACCGGCGGUAAUCCUGAACUUCAGGAAAGCCCGCGAGCGCCUGCCAAAGCAAUUUGGCAGGGUCAGCAGAUCCGGUGUAACUCCGGAGCCGACGGUAACAGUCCGGAUGAGAGAGGAUAAAG
RNAcentral lists this non-coding RNA (152 nucleotides) under Thalassospira alkalitolerans. Its description in RNAcentral is "FMN sequence". It matches the Rfam family "FMN riboswitch aptamer (RFN element)". From Rfam's summary of the family: The RFN element is a highly conserved domain that is found frequently in the 5'-untranslated regions of prokaryotic mRNAs that encode for flavin mononucleotide (FMN) biosynthesis and transport proteins. This element is a metabolite-dependent riboswitch that directly binds FMN in the absence of proteins. The record is from RNAcentral. Lineage: Bacteria; Pseudomonadati; Pseudomonadota; Alphaproteobacteria; Rhodospirillales; Thalassospiraceae.